Ornithodoros turicata is the source of this 2914-nucleotide long non-coding RNA. RefSeq lists it as uncharacterized. The transcript is spliced from 2 exons. The record is from RefSeq and is a predicted model, not a curated record. NCBI's taxonomy places the organism in Eukaryota, Metazoa, Arthropoda, Arachnida, Ixodida, Argasidae.
GGCAUUUUCGUCAAACAUGUUUGGGGAAAUGUUCGUGUUUGGUGUUUUAUGUUUAACCAGUGUGACUGCAGUUUUCCCUCCUCCAAGCCGCCGAAGGAGAACGCAGCACGCAGGCGAGGAAGCGCGAAGUGCCGUUUUCAAAUUCUGGCAACCAAUCCGGACACGCUUGUGGCGUCCGACCGAGACUUGGCCUUCGGGAGAGGAAAAUGAGUUGCGCUGCGCAUGCGCUAGAAGUGAUGUCACGUGUCUCUCUUUGCCGCCGCCGUGCCGUCUGCUCGCUUCGCGUGCGCAUGCGCUAGCAGACAGCGCUUUGUUUGCUUGACUUGAGUUGAGCAUGGCUUGCGGAUGAGAUUUGUGGUAGUGCUGAAGCAGCUUUGCCAAAUAUUCCGUUCAAGUUCCUCGCUGGAUGUCCGGCUCGUCCGUCGAUGUUCAACAGAUGCAACAAGUGCCAGUCCACUUUUUCUCAGCUGCACCUUCUCAGUCCAGCAGCAGCACCAGGUGAAUGUAGGUACACAACUUCCCAGUAAAUUAAGACGCACGAGUGCAAUUCUGGUAAGUACGUCUCAUGCUCUGUUACACCAGUACACACAUACCAUUCGCAUUCAACGCCCUUAUUUUGCAUGUGUUGUAGCAAAUGAUUCAGUGGCACAAACCGGCAGGCUGGUGCGUAAUGUAAGCCCAUAGUGUCGAGUUGGACUAAUUCGGGUCGCGUGUUCGUACAGUCUGUGCAAUCGGACUGUCUACCUGUUCGGAAUUACUACCUGUUCUAUCUUAACACCGAAGUCGGUAUAUGAGUAAGAAAUAUCGUGGUUUCGACAAUUAUCAGUAAUCUUUCGUUGUGCUUAAUGAUUCCUAUUAUUUUAUACUUGUGUUUUUACUCAGAAUUCUAAUACUGUAUUCUUAACUGGAGCAACAAAAUUACGAAACACAUGAGGAUUGUGUUGAAACUGAGGACAUUGCUUAUUUUUACUGAUUUCAGAUUUUCAGGCAUGGGGAGAAGAAAUGCAGGAUGCAGCCAAGAGUCAUUUUACUAAAGGCACAGGAGUAAAAAGAUUGAAAGAUGGAAGUUUAAAGUGUUAUUAUAUUUGUAACUGAUCGGGUGCUUUUUACAGAGAAGAACAUCAAAGAAAAAAGGUCCAUAAAAUCAUAAGGUUCCGUUAGGCGUGGGGUAACCUGUAUUGAUGAUUCGUCUGCAACGUUCCAGACUGGCAAAGUUCCAGGACAUAACGGGACGUAUGCUCCGGGGCCCCAUCUCGCUCAUGAUCAGAGCCGACAGUUAAGGCAUAAUGGUUUCAAAUUUCCGAAGAUUGCAGUUCAGAAUUUGUAUGAGUACAACACAACAGCAUGUACAGCCCAAGACAAAAGUUCACGGCACUGCGCUUUUCUUCAUCGGAGCGGUCCCCUGCCAGCUACCAGCAAAAGAUCGAAUAAGAAACGGGUCUAUCUCUCAGUAUGUGUGUCCGCUCUUGUUUGAUGCUAGGGUGUCACUCCAAUGGAGAAAUGUGACACCAUGGUGGUCCGUAAACAUUUGUACCAAGCUGUACAUUGUACAACCUCGACAACUAACAGACACUGCUCGGUCAGGUCAGUGUCCCAAUUUGAGAUUUUGCUGCCUAUUUCUUCCCAAAAGGCUGCUCUUGCAAAAAUGCUUAAGAAAGUCAUUUGGGUGAACUCCGGUGUACCAAGAAAAGUGCAGAACAAAAAAUUUGUAGUAGUAUAGUUAGACUAUAUAGUAAUUUAUAGUAUGCCUUAGUAUAGUUAGACUUUGAAGGCAGUAGUCAACAUAAAUAAGUUUUACCUCUGAGCGAUGAUGGCCCAUUCAAGGCAACAACAAACUCAUAGGUUCACCACAUCAUCUAAACUUCCUCGCCCUGUUACAGCUUGUUUCUGUCCACAACAUCUUCAAGGUGCAUAUUCUGUGCCAUGCAACCAGAGGAGUGGUUACAUGAACUAUCAUUCAUCGAGCAUUUGUGAGGAGAUUGUUAGAGGAAUCAGUCAGACAGAUGUGUUUCAGAUGAUUUUUUUUUUCAGUUUUCAGGUUUUUAUUGUUAUUUCAUGACAGUAUACUCUGAUACUGAUACUGGGCAAGCCCUGUUGAACAGUCCAAGACACAGUCAAUGCAAAUGUCUACACAAUUUGAGGGGAACAGAAAUACAAGAACACAUGACAAGUAUAAGAAACAAAUAGCAAAGAUAUUGCACAGCAGAGAAAUGCACAUAGUCAAAACGUAAUUGCAUGUCACCCUGCGUAUCAGCAGAAAAGUCCUGUUUGAUGGUGUUUUUGAAGGAUGCCAGAUUAUUGUUGGAACGAAUGCGUAGAGCAGUGUUUCUCAAACUGUGGGUUAUGACCCCCAAAUGGGUCAUGAGCUGUUGAAAGAUUCAUUGUUUCACACCCAACCAGAGGGUAAAGCUCAAUUCAUGUUCAAAGCAUUAAUGGACUGUCAUGCGUUGUCACAUGACAGUGCUGCAUUCAUGAGUAAAUGAUGUAGAUGUGAAGGUCCUUAAGCAUGAAUUCAACAGAAAUCCUCUGGCUGGGUGUAUUUCCUGCUGCUUGGCACACUCUUGGAAUCUGGUUGAAAAGCUGCUUCUGAAAACUGACCUGCUGCUAUGGCUUUCUUCACAGCAUCUGUGCAUCAAUAUUCGAACAGAUUGGGACAAAAGUUAUGGAGCAUCGGGGUGUUGCAUUUCUUUAUGGGAGUGACACCCUAGCAGCAAACAGAAGCGGCCACACACACUGAGAGGUGCACAGAACAGCAGUCACUUGUUUCUUAUUCGAUACCUUCCUGCUAGCCAGCAGGGGGCCGCUCCGAUGAAGUGCAAGGCAACAGGCUCAUUGAUAUGGUGUCCAGCUGGAAUUUGUGGUAUUUUGGAACAAUGUAUUGCUAACGAGACCAGUAAAAAUAUCCAAAACUGGA